Molecule: ribosomal RNA, 660 nt
Filed under: uncultured bacterium
Lineage: Bacteria
Description: bacterial SSU rRNA
Rfam family: Bacterial small subunit ribosomal RNA
Source: RNAcentral
CGCUGGCGGCAUGCCUAACACAUGCAAGUCGAACGGCAGCACAGUGGAGCUUGCUCCAUGGGUGGCGAGUGGCGGACGGGUGAGGAAUACAUCGGGACCUGCCCAGACGUGGGGGAUAACGUAGGGAAACUUACGCUAAUACCGCAUACGUCCUACGGGAGAAAGCGGGGGAUCUUCGGACCUCGCGCGGUUGGAUGGACCGAUGUUCGAUUAGCUAGUUGGUGGGGUAAAGGCCUACCAAGGCGACGAUCGAUAGCUGGUCUGAGAGGAUGAUCAGCCACACUGGGACUGAGACACGGCCCAGACUCCUACGGGAGGCAGCAGUGGGGAAUAUUGGACAAUGGGCGCAAGCCUGAUCCAGCAAUGCCGCGUGUGUGAAGAAGGCCUUCGGGUUGUAAAGCACUUUUAUCAGGAGCGAAAUGCCAUUGGUUAAUACCCGGUGGAGCUGACGGUACCUGAGGAAUAAGCACCGGCUAACUUCGUGCCAGCAGCCGCGGUAAUACGAAGGGUGCAAGCGUUAAUCGGAAUUACUGGGCGUAAAGCGUGCGUAGGCGGUUUCUUAAGUCUGCUGUGAAAUCCCCGGGCUCAACCUGGGAAUGGCAGUGGAUACUGGGAAGCUAGAGUGUGAUAGAGGAUGGUGGAAUUCCCGGUGUAGCGGUG